GACGAACGCUGGCGGCGUGCUUAACACAUGCAAGUCGAACGGAAAGGCCCUGCUUUUGUGGGGUGCUCGAGUGGCGAACGGGUGAGUAACACGUGAGUAACCUGCCCUUGACUUUGGGAUAACUUCAGGAAACUGGGGCUAAUACCGGAUAGGAGCUCCUGCUGCAUGGUGGGGGUUGGAAAGUUUCGGCGGUUGGGGAUGGACUCGCGGCUUAUCAGCUUGUUGGUGGGGUAGUGGCUUACCAAGGCUUUGACGGGUAGCCGGCCUGAGAGGGUGACCGGCCACAUCGGGACUGAGAUACGGCCCAGACGCCUACGGGAGGCAGCAGUGGGGAAUAUUGCACAAUGGGCGGAAGCCUGAUGCAGCAGCGCCGCGUGCGGGAUGACGGCCUUCGGGUGGUAAACCGCUUUGGCUUGUGACGAAGCGUGAGUGACGGUAAUGGGUAGAGAAGCACCGGCUAGCUACGUC
Molecule: ribosomal RNA, 468 nt
Filed under: uncultured bacterium
Lineage: Bacteria
Description: partial 16S ribosomal RNA
Rfam family: Bacterial small subunit ribosomal RNA
Source: RNAcentral